AACGAACGCUGGCGGCAGGCUUAACACAUGCAAGUCGAGCGCCCCGCAAGGGGAGCGGCAGACGGGUGAGUAACGCGUGGGAACGUACCUUUUGGUUCGGAACAACUCCGGGAAACUGGAGCUAAUACCGGAUAAGCCCUAACGGGGAAAGAUUUAUCGCCGAAAGAUCGGCCCGCGUCUGAUUAGCUAGUUGGUGAGGUAACCGCUCACCAAAGCGACGAUCAGUAGCUGGUCUGAGAGGAUGAUCAGCCACACUGGGACUGAGACACGGCCCAGACUCCUGCCGGAGGGAGGCAUGGGGGAUUAUGGAAAAUGGGGGGCAGGCUGAACCCACCCUGGCGGGUUAGUGAUUGAGGGCUUAAGGUUUUUAAGCCUCUUUGUCCCGGGAGGUUAUGACCGUACCCGAAGAAUAAGCCCCGGCUAACUUCGUG
Molecule: ribosomal RNA, 431 nt
Filed under: uncultured bacterium
Lineage: Bacteria
Description: partial 16S ribosomal RNA
Rfam family: Bacterial small subunit ribosomal RNA
Source: RNAcentral